GGUGCUGCAUGGCUGUCGUCAGCUCCGUGUCGUGAGAUGUUGGGUUAAGUCCCGUACGAGCGCAACCCUUGUCCUUAGUUACCAGCACGUUAUGGUGGGCACUCUAAGGAGACUGCCGGUGACAACCGGAGGAAGGUGGGGAUGACGUCAAGUCAUCAUGGCCCUUACGGCCUGGGCUACACACGUGCUACAAUGGUCGGUACAAAGGGUUGCCAAGCCGCGAGGUGGAGCUAAUCCCAUAAAACCGAUCGUAGUCCGGAUCGCAGUCUGCAACUCGACUGCGUGAAGUCGGAAUCGCUAGUAAUCGUGAAUCAGAAUGUCACGGUGAAUACGUUCCCGGGCCUU
RNAcentral lists this ribosomal RNA (345 nucleotides) under uncultured Pseudomonas sp. Its description in RNAcentral is "bacterial SSU rRNA". It matches the Rfam family "Bacterial small subunit ribosomal RNA", at positions 1037 to 1382 of the family's 1533-position model. The record is from RNAcentral. Lineage: Bacteria; Pseudomonadati; Pseudomonadota; Gammaproteobacteria; Pseudomonadales; Pseudomonadaceae.